GGUGGCUCAGUGGUAGAGUGGUUGCCUUGCAUGCAUAAGGCCCUGGGUUCGAUUCCUCAGCACCA
This 65-nucleotide transfer RNA is filed under the name Dipodomys ordii (Ord's kangaroo rat). It matches the Rfam family "tRNA". From Rfam's summary of the family: Transfer RNA (tRNA) molecules are approximately 80 nucleotides in length. Their secondary structure includes four short double-helical elements and three loops (D, anti-codon, and T loops). Further hydrogen bonds mediate the characteristic L-shaped molecular structure. tRNAs have two regions of fundamental functional importance: the anti-codon, which is responsible for specific mRNA codon recognition, and the 3' end, to which the tRNAs corresponding amino acid is attached (by aminoacyl-tRNA synthetases). tRNAs cope with the degeneracy of the genetic code in two manners: having more than one tRNA (with a specific anti-codon) for a particular amino acid; and 'wobble' base-pairing, i.e. permitting non-standard base-pairing at the 3rd anti-codon position. Lineage: Eukaryota; Metazoa; Chordata; Mammalia; Rodentia; Heteromyidae. The record is from Rfam by way of RNAcentral.